UACAUUUACGUCCCGUUCAUCAGUUGAUGGCCAUUUUGGUAAUUCCAUGUCUUGAUUACUGUGAAGAGAGCCACGAUGAACACAGGAAUACUAAAGAAGUUAAUUUGGCCCAGGACUGAAAAAAAAUGGCAUCAUAAAGGAGAUAACAUUGGAUGGAAUGGUCAGAUGUGGAGAAAAAGUAAAACUAUGACUCAUCUAAUCUUCAUUCAGCUGAUGGAUGCUAAGUGUGAAUCACAGAUGUCUGUAAAUCAGGUCCCCACCUCCAGGGCUGCAGAAUCUGGAGGAAAACUAAAGAUUAAAGUGCAC
Molecule: long non-coding RNA, 306 nt
Filed under: Cricetulus griseus (Chinese hamster)
Lineage: Eukaryota; Metazoa; Chordata; Mammalia; Rodentia; Cricetidae
Description: lncRNA (ENSCGRG00015040726.1)
Source: RNAcentral